Molecule: unclassified non-coding RNA, 325 nt
Filed under: uncultured fungus
Lineage: Eukaryota; Fungi
Description: sequence contains ITS1
Source: RNAcentral
UUGGUUUCGUUUCAUUUACAAUAGGAGCACGACCGUCCGAGAACAGCCAUACCCCGUUUAUCGUAAGUUCUACUAUCAAUCGAUUCGAUCUUCCCGCAGCCUUGAACCCGGAGGUUCCGGUAUUGCGUAGAGGAGGAAUGUAAAACGAUGGGGUUUGUUGUUAUAAAAGUAUUUGAAGACACUGCGAACUUAGCCCAGAGGCUUCAUUCAAUCAGUGUAGUCAAAGGUACGCGGGACGCAAAAAGGAAGCCGGCCGGAAGCCAACCCCCAAUUUGUUUUUGUUUAGGGUGUGGUAAUGAUCCUUCCGCAGGUUCACCUACGGAAA